This 1320-nucleotide long non-coding RNA is filed under the name Eutrema salsugineum. Its description in RNAcentral is "long non-coding RNA (ESAL_LNC002047)". Lineage: Eukaryota; Viridiplantae; Streptophyta; Magnoliopsida; Brassicales; Brassicaceae. The record is from RNAcentral.
AAAAUGUGUGUAGGGUUUGGUGGUUGGAGUCUCGAUAAAAUCUAGCUUCGACUAGGGAUCACAUGUUUUUGGUCAGACCAUCUUAGAUCUUAUAUUAUUUUAAUCAUUUACGUACAUAUCGAUCAGUUUUGCUAAUCAACCCACUAUUGCAGCAAAAUUACAAUCCAAAUAUAUAAAUUUUCGAAGUAAUUAAUACAAGAUUUUUUUUUACUAAAUUAAGUAUUUUAUGAAAGUCGUAUUUAGUGCCCACACAAAGAACUUUGGAGAGAAAGAGAGAGAGAAGGAAAUGUUUACAGAGAGGCUUCUCUCAGACGAAACCAAUAAAGAACAAAAUACAAAGCUGAGAAGAAUCCAUAAAAGGUGAAAAAAAAAGCAAGAAGAGCAAGGAAAUAUGUAUUCCUAUCUCACCUUCCGCUUCACAUCAUUCUUCUUCAUCUUCUUCACCAGCUGUAUUCUGUAUAUACCAAAAUCCACUCCUCUCUCUCCCUCUCUCGUUUUCACUUGAUCCUGUCCUUAAUGUUUUAUCUGAUUUUUUGUUCUUCUCUUGAAUUUUUGUUGAGUAGAAGAAAGUAAUGGAAGAUACUGAGUAUUACUGCAACAAUGGUGGGGUUUCAAGAAGGGCAUUUUCGUAAGAGAAGAAGAAAAAUUGAGUUUUAUAACUCUUCAAUGUCUUGUAUCAGAUUCAUUCGUUAUUAUGUGUCUUUAAUUUGGUCCUUUAAGAUGAAAAAAACAAAAAUAGAGUCACGUUUUCGGAAGUAGUGAUAUUGGCGGAAUGGCUCAAUCUCCUUGUCACAAUUAUCACUUUCUUUUCUUUUUUUUUCAAUUAUCACUUUCACUCUUCUUUUCUUCUUCAUUUAUUAAACAAAUCACUUGUUUUUGCUUCUUGUCAAAAAUAAAAUUUAUGAACUGCAAAAAUAGCUUUCUCAUAUUUAUUUUCAUCAGUUUGUUCUCUGUUAAAGAUUUAUUACUUUCAUCAAUUAUGCAAGAACUUGGCUGUAUGAAAGAGUAGUAUAUCAUUUUAUUUCUAGCCAUAGCAUAUAUUUUAAUUAUAUAUCUUCUGAUUUCUCGAGUUGUCAUUUUCCAAGGAUUUAAUAUGUGUACGUAUAUAUUGGCAAUGAUAUUGCAUUUAUAUACAUUGGUAAUGAUAUUGCAUGUAUGUCUAAUGAUUUUUUUUUAUAUAAUUCGAUGUGCAUUGUUGAAGACACACGACACAACAGAGGAAAAACAGAGAGAGAUGGUUGUUUCUUGAUUCUACAUUUUUACUACUCUCGGGGAAUGUGCAUUUCAUAAAACCCGAUAAUUUAUUUGGUUACUUAGGAC